UGGGGAGAGGAACUUGUUCCUCGAGUCGUUGAUUUCACACUGCCGAGAAAAGCCUCUAGCUAGAAUAACGGUGCCCGUACCGCAAACCGACACAGGUAGUCAAGAUGAGAAUUCUAAGGUGAGCGAGCGAACUCUCGUUAAGGAACUCGGCAAAAUGACCCCGUAACUUCGGGAGAAGGGGUGCUCUUUGAGGUUCACGCUUCGAAGAGCCGCAGUGAAUAGGCCCAAGCGACUGUUUAUCAAAAACACAGGUCUCUGCUAAACCGUAAGGUGACGUAUAGGGGCUGACGCCUGCCCGGUGCUGGAAGGUUAAGAGGAGUGGUUAGCGCAAGCGAAGCUACGAAUCGAAGCCCCAGUAAACGGCGGCCGUAACUAUAACGGUCCUAAGGUAGCGAAAUUCCUUGUCGGGUAAGUUCCGACCCGCACGAAAGGCGUAACGAUUUGGGCACUGUCUCAACGAGAGACUCGGUGAAAUCAUAGUACCGGUGAAGAUGCCGGUUACCCGCGACAGGACGGAAAGACCCCGUGGAGCUUUACUGUAGCCUGAUAUUGAAAUUCGGUACAGUUUGUACAGGAUAGGUAGGAGCCUUAGAAGCGUGAGCGCUAGCUUACGUGGAGGCAUUGGUGGGAUACUACCCUAAUUG
This 644-nucleotide ribosomal RNA is filed under the name Staphylococcus pseudintermedius. RNAcentral's name for it is "partial 23S ribosomal RNA". It matches the Rfam family "Bacterial large subunit ribosomal RNA", at positions 1566 to 2211 of the family's 2925-position model. Lineage: Bacteria; Bacillati; Bacillota; Bacilli; Caryophanales; Staphylococcaceae. The record is from RNAcentral.